This 532-nucleotide ribosomal RNA is filed under the name uncultured bacterium. RNAcentral describes it as "bacterial SSU rRNA". It matches the Rfam family "Bacterial small subunit ribosomal RNA", at positions 8 to 521 of the family's 1533-position model. The record is from RNAcentral.
AGAGUUUGAUCCUGGCUCAGAUUGAACGCUGGCGGCGUGCUUAACACAUGCAAGUCGAACGUGAAAGUCCUUCGGGGCGAGUAAAGUGGCGCACGGGUGAGUAACGCGUGGAUAAUCUACCCUUAAGAUGGGGAUAACGGCUGGAAACGGUCGCUAAUACCGAAUACGCUCCCGAUUUUAUCGUUGGGGGGAAAGAUGGCCUCUGCUUGCAAGCUAUCGCUUAAGGAUGAGUCCGCGUCCCAUUAGCUAGUUGGCGGGGUAACGGCCCACCAAGGCAACGAUGGGUAGCCGGUCUGAGAGGAUGACCGGCCACACUGGAACUGGAACACGGUCCAGACUCCUACGGGAGGCAGCAGUGGGGAAUAUUGCGCAAUGGGCGAAAGCCUGACGCAGCGACGCCGCGUGAGGGAUGAAGGUUCUCGGAUCGUAAACCUCUGUCAGGGGGGAAGAAACCCCCUCGUGUGAAUAAUGCGAGGGCUUGACGGUACCCCCAAAGGAAGCACCGGCCUAACUCCGUGCCAGCAGCCGCGGU